Molecule: ribosomal RNA, 541 nt
Filed under: uncultured Anaerolineaceae bacterium
Lineage: Bacteria; Bacillati; Chloroflexota; Anaerolineae; Anaerolineales; Anaerolineaceae
Description: bacterial SSU rRNA
Rfam family: Bacterial small subunit ribosomal RNA
Source: RNAcentral
AGAGUUUGAUCCUGGCUCAGGAUGAACGUUGGCGGCGUGCCUAAUACAUGCAAGUCGAACGAAGACUGUAGUAAUACUGUCUUAGUGGCGAACGGGUGAGUAACGCGUGGGUGACCUGCCCCGAAGUGUGGGAUAACAGUCCGAAAGGAUUGCUAAUACUGCAUAAUAUCCAAGAGAUUAGAUGCUUUUGGAUUAAAGGAGUAAUUCGCUUCGGGAGGGGCCCGCGUCCCAUCAGCUAGUUGGUAAGGUAAUGGCUUACCAAGGCGAUGACGGGUAGGGGACCUGAGAGGGAGGCCCCCCACAAUGGAACUGAAACACGGUCCAUACACCUACGGGUGGCAGCAGUAGGGAAUAUUAGUAAUGGGCGAAAGCCUGAACUAGCAACGCCGCGUGUGCGAAGAAGGCCUUCGGGUCGUAAAGCACUUUUUGAGAGGAUGAGGAAGGACGGUACUCUCAGAAUAAGUCUCGGCUAACUACGUGCCAGCAGCCGCGGUAACACGUAGGAGGCAAACGUUAUCCGGAUUUACUGGGCGUAAAGCGC